Molecule: small RNA, 364 nt
Filed under: uncultured Entomomonas sp.
Lineage: Bacteria; Pseudomonadati; Pseudomonadota; Gammaproteobacteria; Pseudomonadales; Pseudomonadaceae
Description: cspA thermoregulator
Rfam family: cspA thermoregulator
Source: RNAcentral
AAUAUCUCUUUGUUUCUUCUAUUCUCUUUAUAUUAAUCAUGUUCAUGCAAAGCAAAGGGUUUUUGCCAAUUGCAGUCAUGUGGCUGUAAUUAACUUAUAAAUAGGUAUAUUUAAAUGUCUAAUAAAACAGGUUUAGUUAAGUGGUUUGAUGAAGGUAAAGGUUUCGGUUUCAUCACCCCUGAUGAUGGUAGUAAAGAUUUAUUUGUCCAUUUCUCAGCAUUGAUUGGUGAUGGAUUUAAAACAUUGUUCGAAGGACAGAAAGUACAGUUUGUUGUUGGUAAUGGACCUAAAGGCCCAACUGCGAAUAGUGUUAUAACUUUGUAGUUUGUAAGCACUAUACAUAAAGCCUGACUAUACGUCGGGC